ACUUUACAAUGCGGGAAACCGUGAUAAGGGGACACCGAGUGCCAGCAUCAUAUGCUGGCUGUCCGGGUGUGUAAAAUACACUCGUUAGCAAGGGCCGGGCAAGACCGGUGCCAGCCGCCGCGGUAACACCGGCGGCCCGAGUGGUGAUCGUGAUUAUUGGGUCUAAAGGGUCCGUGGCCGGUUUGGUCAGUCCUCCGGGAAAUCUGAUAGCUUAACUAUUAGGCUUUCGGGGGAUACUGCCAGACUUGGAACCGGGAGAGGUAAGAGGUACUACAGGGGUAGGAGUGAAAUCUUGUAAUCCCUGUGGGACCACCUGUGGCGAAGGCGUCUUACCAGAACGGGUUCGACGGUGAGGGACGAAAGCUGGGGGCACGAACCGGAUUAGAUACCCGGGUAGUCCCAGCCGUAAACGAUGCUCGCUAGGUGUCAGGCAUGGCGCGACCGUGUCUGGUGCCGCAGGGAAGCCGUGAAGCGAGCCACCUGGGAAGUACGGCCGCAAGGCUGAAACUUAA
RNAcentral lists this ribosomal RNA (512 nucleotides) under uncultured Methanosarcina sp. Its description in RNAcentral is "bacterial SSU rRNA". It matches the Rfam family "Archaeal small subunit ribosomal RNA", at positions 347 to 859 of the family's 1478-position model. The record is from RNAcentral. Lineage: Archaea; Methanobacteriati; Methanobacteriota; Methanomicrobia; Methanosarcinales; Methanosarcinaceae.